GUGAAACACCCGUUCCUGUAGGAUCACCGAAGUUAGGCAACGUCGAGCCUGGUCAGUACCUAUAUGGGUGACCGCUUGAGAAUGCCAGGUGCUGUAAA
Acanthosepion pharaonis is the source of this 98-nucleotide non-coding RNA. NCBI's taxonomy places the organism in Eukaryota, Metazoa, Mollusca, Cephalopoda, Sepiida, Sepiidae. The record is from the annotation of a GenBank genome assembly.